This is a small nuclear RNA of Sorex fumeus (smoky shrew), 107 nucleotides long. Lineage: Eukaryota; Metazoa; Chordata; Mammalia; Eulipotyphla; Soricidae. The record is from RefSeq and is a predicted model, not a curated record.
GUGCUCACUUUGGCAGCAAAUAGACUAAACUUGGUAAGCUACAGACAAGAUCAACAUGGUCCCUGUGCAGGAACGGCAUGUGAAUUCAUGAAGUGAUCAUAUUUUAA